AUUGAACGCUGGCGGCAGGCUUAACACAUGCAAGUCGAGCGGGGGAAGGUAGCUUGCUACCGGACCUAGCGGCGGACGGGUGAGUAAUGCUUAGGAAUCUGCCUAUUAGUGGGGGACAACAUCUCGAAAGGGAUGCUAAUACCGCAUACGUCCUACGGGAGAAAGCAGGGGAUCUUCGGACCUUGCGCUAAUAGAUGAGCCUAAGUCGGAUUAGCUAGUUGGUGGGGUAAAGGCCUACCAAGGCGACGAUCUGUAGCGGGUCUGAGAGGAUGGUCCGCCACACUGGGACUGAGACACGGCCCAGAGUCCUACGGGAGGCAGCAGUUGGGAAUAUUGGACAAUGGGGGGAACCCUGAUCCAGCCAUGCCGCGUGUGGGAAGAAGGCCUUAUGGUUGUAAAGCACUUUAAGCGAGGAGGAGGCUACUUUAGUUAAUACCUAGAGAUAGUGGACGUUACUCGCAGAAUAAGCACCGGCUAACUCUGUGCCAGCCGCCGCGGUAA
RNAcentral lists this ribosomal RNA (501 nucleotides) under uncultured bacterium. Its description in RNAcentral is "partial 16S ribosomal RNA". It matches the Rfam family "Bacterial small subunit ribosomal RNA", at positions 30 to 523 of the family's 1533-position model. The record is from RNAcentral.